This 173-nucleotide ribosomal RNA is filed under the name uncultured bacterium. Its description in RNAcentral is "partial 16S ribosomal RNA". It matches the Rfam family "Bacterial small subunit ribosomal RNA", at positions 335 to 524 of the family's 1533-position model. The record is from RNAcentral.
ACUCCUACGGGAGGCAGCAGCGAGGAAUAUUGCGCAAUGAGCGAAAGCUAGACGCAGCAACGCCGCGUGGGUGAUGAAGGCCUUCGGGUCGUAAAACCCUUUUCUGAGGGAAGAGAAAGGACGGUACCUCAGGAAUAAGCCUCGGCUAACUAUGUGCCAGCAGCCGCGGUAAU